GUGGGGAAUCUUGCGCAAUGGCCUAACGGCUGACGCAGCGACGCCGCGUGAGGGAUGACGCUCUUCGGAGUGUAAACCUCUUUUGCCUGAGACGAAUUGUCAGCUUUAGCUGAUUUGACUGUAUCGGGUGAAUAAGCACCGGCUAACUCCGUGCCAGCAGCCGCGGUAAUACGGGGGGUGCGAGCGUUGUCCGGAAUCACUGGGCGUAAAGGGCGCGUAGGUGGCCUGAUAAGGGUGUGGUGAAAGUCCGGGGCUCAACCCCGGAUCGGCCGUGCCGACUGUUAGGCUAGAGUACUGUAGGGGCAGGCGGAAUUCCGGGUGUAGCGGUGGAAUGCGUAGAGAUCCGGAGGAAGACCGGUGGCGAAGGCGGCCUGCUGGGCAGUUACUGACACUGAGGCGCGACAGCGUGGGGAGCAAACAGGAUUAGAAACCCCGGUAGUCC
RNAcentral lists this ribosomal RNA (442 nucleotides) under uncultured bacterium. Its description in RNAcentral is "bacterial SSU rRNA". It matches the Rfam family "Bacterial small subunit ribosomal RNA", at positions 354 to 796 of the family's 1533-position model. The record is from RNAcentral.